UUGGAGGGCAAGUCUGGUGCCAGCAGCCGCGGUAAUUCCAGCUCCAAUAGCGUACAUUAAAGUUGUUGCAGUUAAAAAGCUCGUAGUUGAAUUUCGGGACCAAUUUGUUGGUCGUGCCUCGGUACGUACUGGUAUUAUUGGUUUCUCCCUUCUGAAGAACCUCGAUGCCAUUAAUUUGGUGUCGUGGGGAAUCAGGACUGUAACUUUGAAAAAAUUAGAGUGUUUAAAGCAAGCAUACGCUUGAAUACAUUAGCAUGGAAUAAUGAAAUAGGACGUUUGAUUCUAUUUUGUUGGUUUCUAGGAUCGACGUAAUGAUUAAUAGGGAUAGUUGGGGGCAUUAGUAUUCAAUUGUCAGAGGUGGAAUUCUUGGAUUUAUUGAAGACUAACUACUGCGAAAGCAUUUGCCAAGGAUGUUUUCAUUAAUCAAGAACGAAAGUUAGGGGAUCGAAGACGAUCAGAUACCGUCGUAGUCUUAACCAUAAACUAUGCCGACUAGGGAUCGGAUGAUGUUAAUUUUUUAAUGACUCAUUCGGCGCCUUACGGGAAACCAAAGUGUUUGGGUUC
RNAcentral lists this ribosomal RNA (564 nucleotides) under uncultured Glomeromycotina. RNAcentral's name for it is "SSU rRNA". It matches the Rfam family "Eukaryotic small subunit ribosomal RNA", at positions 548 to 1114 of the family's 1831-position model. Lineage: Eukaryota; Fungi; Glomeromycota. The record is from RNAcentral.